CACUGAGAUUGAUAACAACGAAGCUCCGGAUGACCAAGCCUGCGCAUCAGCUGUGGAUAGUACCAAUUUAAAGGACGAUGGAGGCGCAAAAGACAACAUCAAAUCAUGAACAACAUAUAGAGAUCUCUUGAGGAGCGCAAACAAACAACAUCACAAGUCAAUUUACAGAAGAAUAAGCGACCAGGUUUGCUUUGCAACGGUUGUA
This 205-nucleotide small RNA is filed under the name Arabidopsis thaliana (thale cress). Its description in RNAcentral is "ATSL069210". Lineage: Eukaryota; Viridiplantae; Streptophyta; Magnoliopsida; Brassicales; Brassicaceae. The record is from RNAcentral.